ACUCAAAUGAAUUGACGGGGGCCCGCACAAGCGGUGGAGCAUGUGGUUUAAUUCGAUGCAACGCGAAGAACCUUACCUACCCUUGACAUCCUCGGAAUCUUGCAGAGAUGCAGGAGUGCCUUCGGGAACCGAGAGACAGGUGCUGCAUGGCUGUCGUCAGCUCGUGUUGUGAGAUGUUGGGUUAAGUCCCGUAACGAGCGCAACCCCUGUCCUUAGUUGCCAGCGAGUAAAGUCGGGAACUCUAAGGAGACUGCCGGUGACAAACCGGAGGAAGGUGGGGAUGACGUCAAGUCAUCAUGGCCUUUAUGGGUAGGGCCACACACGUGCUACAAUGGCCGGUACAAAGGGAAGCCAACCCGCGAGGGGGAGCAAAUCUCAGAAAACCGGUCGUAGUCCGGAUUGGAGUCUGCAACUCGACUCCAUGAAGUUGGAAUCGCUAGUAAUCGCGGAUCAGAACGCCGCGGUGAAUACGUUCCCGGGCCUUGCACACACCGCCCGU
RNAcentral lists this ribosomal RNA (499 nucleotides) under uncultured bacterium. Its description in RNAcentral is "partial 16S ribosomal RNA". It matches the Rfam family "Bacterial small subunit ribosomal RNA", at positions 899 to 1397 of the family's 1533-position model. The record is from RNAcentral.